Molecule: long non-coding RNA, 526 nt
Filed under: Equus caballus (horse)
Lineage: Eukaryota; Metazoa; Chordata; Mammalia; Perissodactyla; Equidae
Description: lncRNA (ENSECAG00000060346.1)
Source: RNAcentral
GAGAGAUUUGACUACAGAAGAGGGGAAGGCAAUGCGAUGACUGAAGCAGACGCAGUGGCAGCCACGAGCCCCAGAAGAGGCAAACAACAGGGAGACUCAACUCUACCGACAUCUUGAUUUUAUCCUUAGUUCCAGGCUGCCCCCCCAGCACAUCUGACACAAGCUGUUCUGAUGAAAUCUAAUGGCUCCAGAUGAAACAGCCUGAAGAAGCAAGUGUAUUUUUAAGGCAUCAAUAUGCUGGUUAUGGAGAGAGCAAGUUUGAAAGAGACCUCGCCACAUGCAGCAUUUACCAUGAGAAUGAAGAAUCUGUUCUGUGUCUGCGGACUCCCUUACCUGAGAUCCAAAAUAGCAGCUCCAGAGCAGGAGAAGGCCAACAGCAAGGGAGCAGAGAGCAGAAAGACGGCCUCCUCUUCCCCACUGCUCACUCAGGCAGGCCUCAGCUGGAGUGGAGGAGAUUCGGAGCUAAGUCACAUUCAGAGUUUUGGAUCAUUAAAAAGGACGAGACUUUGUAAUUGUUGAAUUGCGG